Molecule: non-coding RNA, 108 nt
Organism: Acanthosepion pharaonis
Lineage: Eukaryota; Metazoa; Mollusca; Cephalopoda; Sepiida; Sepiidae
Source: the annotation of a GenBank genome assembly
UCACAUCACAUCUAAACACUGGUUCCUGUAUGAAUACCAAAGUUAAGCAAUGUCAAGCCUGGUCAGUACCUAGAUGAGUGACCCCUUGGGAAUACCAAGUGCUGUAAG